UGAUAUUCCCGUACCCGCGAAAUAACGACCGUGUUGAGGCGAGUGAUGCUAAGCACGCGAGGUGUGCUGGAUCCCUUCGGGGUGAUGGUGCGCUGAGUCUGUGAACCGAUCUUGUAGUAGACAAGCUGCGGAGGGACGCAGGAAGGUAGCCAUACCGGGCGAUGGUAGUCCCGGGCCAAGGGUGUAGGGCGAGUGGUAGGCAAAUCCGCCACUUGUGUGCCUGAGACCUGAUGGGGAGGAAUUUAUUCCAGAAGUUGGUGAUCCUAUGCUGCCUAGAAAAGCUUCGUGAGCGAGUUAUGAGCGGCCCGUACCCCAAACCGACACAGGUGGAUAGGUAGAGAAUACCAAGGCGAUCGAGAGAAUCAUGGUGAAGGAACUCGGCAAAAUGCCCCCGUAACUUCGGAAUAAGGGGGACUCAAGACGUGACGAGAUUUACUCUUCUGAGCGUUGAGAGUCGCAGAGAGCACCCGGAAGCGACUGUUUAUCAAAAACACAGGUCUGUGCCAAGUUGUAAGACGAUGUAUACAGACUGACUCCUGCCCGGUGCUGGAAGGUUAAGGGGAAUUGUUAGCGCAAGCGAAGCAGUGAACUUAAGCCCCAGUAAACGGCGGUGGUAACUAUAACCAUCCUAAGGUAGCGAAAUUCCUUGUCGGGUAAGUUCCGACCUGCACGAAUGGAGUAACGACUUCCGGACUGUCUCCACCAUGAACUCGGUGAAAUUGCAUUACGAGUAAAGAUGCUCGUUACGCGCAGCAGGACGGAAAGACCCCGGGACCUUUACUAUAGUUUGGUAUUGGUGAUCGGGACGACUUGUGUAGGAUAGGUGGGAGACUGUGAAGCAGCCACGCCAGUGGUUGUGGAGUCAUCGUUGAAAUACCACUCUGGUCGUUCUGGUUAUCUAACCUCGGCCCAUGAUCUGGGUCAGGGACAGUGCCUGAUGGGUAGUUUGACUGGGGCGGUCGCCUCCUAAAAGGUAACGGAGGCGCCCAAAGGUUCCCUCAGCCUGGUUGGCAAUCAGGUGUUGAGUGUAAGUGCACAAGGGAGCUUGACUGUGAGACAGACAUGUCGAGCAGGGACGAAAGUCGGGACUAGUGAUCUUCUGGUGGCAUGUGGACGCGCCAGAACUCAACGGAUAAAAGGUACCCCGGGGAUAACAGGCUGAUCUUGCCCGAGCGCUCACAGCGACGGCAUGGUUUGGCACCUCGAUGUCGGCUCGUCGCAUCCUGGGGCUGGAGUCGGUCCCAAGGGUUGGGCUGUUCGCCCAUUAAAGCGGCACGCGAGCUGGGUUCAGAACGUCGUGAGACAGUUCGGUCCCUAUCCGCUGCGCGCGUAGGAAUCUUGAGAAGGGCUGUCCUUAGUACGAGAGGACCGGGACGGACUAACCUCUGGUGUGCCAGUUGUUCUGCCAAGGGCACGGCUGGUUGGCUACGUUGGGAAGUGAUAACCGCUGAAAGCAUCUAAGUGGGAAGCACGCUUCAAGAUGAGGGUUCCCGCACAGUAAUGUGGUAAGGCCCCCAGUAGACCACUGGGUUGAUAGGUCGGAUGUGGAAGCAUAGCGAUGUGUGGAGCUGACCGAUACUAAUAGGCCGAGGGCUUGUCGU
Molecule: ribosomal RNA, 1601 nt
Filed under: metagenome
Description: bacterial LSU rRNA
Rfam family: Bacterial large subunit ribosomal RNA
Source: RNAcentral